RNAcentral lists this RNase P RNA (356 nucleotides) under marine eukaryotic metagenome. RNAcentral describes it as "Bacterial RNase P class A". It matches the Rfam family "Bacterial RNase P class A", at positions 33 to 352 of the family's 367-position model. From Rfam's summary of the family: Ribonuclease P (RNase P) is a ubiquitous endoribonuclease, found in archaea, bacteria and eukarya as well as chloroplasts and mitochondria. Its best characterised activity is the generation of mature 5'-ends of tRNAs by cleaving the 5'-leader elements of precursor-tRNAs. The record is from RNAcentral.
UGGUGGGGGGGAGGAAAGUCCGGGCACCCCAAGAUUUAAUCUUGGUCCUGACAGUGGAUAACGUCCACCGUUCGUGAGAAUAGGGAAAGUGCCACAGAGACAAUGUUUCUUUGUUUUAGGGGUAAUCUCCUAAAAUGGGGUAAAAGUGAAAAGUGAGGGCCUAAGAAUCCUCUCUCCGAUGGGAGACCAAUCGGAGUGGUAAACCCUGUCUGGUGCAAGAGCAAACCCCCCACCACUUUUUUUAAAAAGUGGUGGGGGGUAAAAGUAGCUCGCUUGAGUUCAACGGCAACGUUGGACCUAGAUAGAUGACUAUCACCCCGCAGUACUGCGGGGGACAGAACCCGGCUUAUUACUUG